UACGGAGGGGGCCAGCGCUGUUCGGAAUCAUUGGGCGUAAAGGGCGCGUAGGCGGCUUGGUAAGUCCGUUGUGAAAUCCCUCGGCUCAACCGAGGAACUGCGACGGAUACUGCUUGGCUUGAGUCCCGGAGAGGGUAGCGGAAUUCCCAGUGUAGCGGUGAAAUGCGUAGAUAUCAGGAGGAACACCGGUGGCGAAGGCGGGUCUCUGGGCCGAUACUGACGCUGAGGAGCGAAAGCGUGGGGAGCGAACAGG
Molecule: ribosomal RNA, 253 nt
Filed under: uncultured bacterium
Lineage: Bacteria
Description: partial 16S ribosomal RNA
Rfam family: Bacterial small subunit ribosomal RNA
Source: RNAcentral